UCUUCAUUUCACGUGCUCUUUCACCGGUCAGAGUGGUGAGAUAGCGUGUGAGAUGAGGAGA
This 61-nucleotide microRNA precursor is filed under the name Pristionchus pacificus. RNAcentral describes it as "mir-8364 microRNA precursor family". It matches the Rfam family "mir-8364 microRNA precursor family". The record is from Rfam by way of RNAcentral. Lineage: Eukaryota; Metazoa; Nematoda; Chromadorea; Rhabditida; Neodiplogasteridae.